UACGGAGGGGGCUAGCGUUGUUCGGAAUCACUGGGCGUAAAGCGCGUGUAGGCGGGUCUUUAAGUCAGGGGUGAAAUGCCAGGGCUCAACCUUGGAACUGCCUUUGAUACUGGAGACCUUGAGUCCGGGAGAGGUGAGUGGAAUUGCGAGUGUAGAGGUGAAAUUCGUAGAUAUUCGCAAGAACACCAGUGGCGAAGGCGGCUCACUGGCCCGGAACUGACGCUGAGACGCGAAAGCGUGGGGAGCAAACAGG
RNAcentral lists this ribosomal RNA (253 nucleotides) under uncultured bacterium. RNAcentral's name for it is "partial 16S ribosomal RNA". It matches the Rfam family "Bacterial small subunit ribosomal RNA", at positions 524 to 776 of the family's 1533-position model. The record is from RNAcentral.